Molecule: transfer RNA, 20 nt
Filed under: Odontites glutinosus
Lineage: Eukaryota; Viridiplantae; Streptophyta; Magnoliopsida; Lamiales; Orobanchaceae
Description: partial tRNA-His
Source: RNAcentral
GGCGGAUGUACCCAAGUGGA